AACAGUGCUUAGAAAAUAUUGUUUAUUAUGAAGAAACUUGUUCAUAAUACUUCUACUCCCCUAAUGCUAGGAUGAUAGGCAUAUGCUGCCAUAUUCAGCCAGAAAAUGCUUUCUAACCUGAGAACAAUACUAUCCUACUGAAUUAAAUGUAUUCACAGUUCUGGUCAGUUUCUAGUCCACGAGAGCUAAAUUCCUCAUUCACCAGCCAUUUUGAAAAGAAAGCCAGACAGAUACUGAUUUUGAAAGAGUAUAAGAACUAGAAAGAAAACUAAAAGAUUAAAUGUGGUCUAAUAAUAACCAGGGGCUGGUCAGAUGACUCUGUUGUUACCAAACUUGACAACCUGAGUUUGAUUCAUGCAACUCUAUUGGUGGAAAGAGAGAAGCAACCCCUGCAAAUGGACCUGUGACUAUGGUGUAUAUACGUGUGUAUAUACAUGCACACCCCAACACAAUCUGACACACAUGCACACACACAUGCAUUACUGUAAAUAAGUUGGAAAAUGUAAUUCAUAAAUUUUACUAAAUCUUGUCAAUUUCCUCCUGGCAUCAGCCCUCCCACUGGCCUCUGUGAUCUCACCCUGUAAAUGCUCUCAUCUGUUCAUCAGAUGGUCCAUACAGAGAUGCAUAUCUGUAACCUGUGGAUGGCCACUCCUCAGUUUCACACCUUCAGGACUCGCCCAUACCCAUGGAAUAAAGUCCCAUCUCUUCUCUGCAGUCCCCACAUCCUGGCUGAACCCCAAUCUCUCUCCACGGAUAUGAGGUCCAGGCUCACCUGCCUUGUAAUAUAUCUCAAAAAACACCAAAGCUUUCUGCCACCUCGGGGACUUUGGUAAACUGCUCUUCCUACCCAUGCUAUCCCUAUCCCUGCUUUUGAAGACCUUCCUCACCUCAGGCCUUAGCCUAGAUGAACUCUUCUUCAAGGGGGAUCCUGUGACCACUGUACUUAAAAUGUCCCACCUUAGAACUUGUUUGAUCUUCUUGGAGCAUUUACAGGCAAUGAUUUCACACUCCUCUGAAGUAUACCCAUUUGACUCUUUUAUAAUAUUUUGCCUCCAAACCAUACAUCCUCCAAAUGCUUUACUAAACUUUUACUUCUUUGUAGUUGUCGAUACUCUUUCUCCCCUCUCAUAUGAAUUUAUACUUCAUGAGAAUGUGGGCUGCAUCUGGUGGAAUAUCAUCCCAUCAUUAAGUGCUUAUCUGUUUCCACUGAUGCCUGAGACAAACCCCACUGAUUAUUCAGACCUUGAAGACUUCUCAAAGCCAUCAUCCUAGGGCUGCCCAACACUAGUGACUCUUUCAGAGUUCCAGGUCUGGGUUGGACUGGUCAGCACCACCCCUCAGUCCGCAGGCUUGCAGAAUCCAGGGGCUCACAUGGCAUGUUUCAGCAUCAUUUCUCUUCACUCCCUGUGGAGCUCACAAUGGAGACAGCCAACAACAGGACUACUACUCUUAAUUACCUAGAAGUUAAAAUGUGCUAUUUAAUCUAUUAAUCUAUUGAAAAUAUUUCUGAAUUCAAUAAAUCUCUUUUAUUUAACCUAUAAA
Molecule: long non-coding RNA, 1542 nt
Organism: Mus musculus (house mouse)
Lineage: Eukaryota; Metazoa; Chordata; Mammalia; Rodentia; Muridae
Product: predicted gene, 31157
Exons: 2
Source: RefSeq, a predicted model, not a curated record